GUGGGGAAUAUUGGGCAAUGGGCGCAAGCCUGACCCAGCAACGCCGCGUGAAGGAAGAAGGCUUUCGGGUUGUAAACUUCUUUUCUUGGGGACGAAGAAAGUGACGGUACCCAAGGAAUAAGCCACGGCUAACUACGUGCCAGCAGCCGCGGUAAUACGUAGGUGGCAAGCGUUAUCCGGAUUUAUUGGGUGUAAAGGGCGUGUAGGCGGGAAUGCAAGUCAGAUGUGAAAACUAUGGGCUCAACCCAUAGCCUGCAUUUGAAACUGUAUUUCUUGAGUGCUGGAGAGGCAAUCGGAAUUCCGUGUGUAGCGGUGAAAUGCGUAGAUAUACGGAGGAACACCAGUGGCGAAGGCGGAUUGCUGGACAGUAACUGACGCUGAGGCGCGAAAGCGUGGGGAGCAAACAGGA
This 409-nucleotide ribosomal RNA is filed under the name uncultured bacterium. Its description in RNAcentral is "bacterial SSU rRNA". It matches the Rfam family "Bacterial small subunit ribosomal RNA", at positions 354 to 777 of the family's 1533-position model. The record is from RNAcentral.